This is a long non-coding RNA of Camelus dromedarius (Arabian camel), 462 nucleotides long. RefSeq lists it as uncharacterized. The record is from RefSeq and is a predicted model, not a curated record. The transcript has 4 exons. Lineage: Eukaryota; Metazoa; Chordata; Mammalia; Artiodactyla; Camelidae.
GAUUUGUUGGAGAAUUCAAAUCCUCGGGAUUAUGGCAGGAAAAGAGAGAAAUCUUUAAAAUGUCUUCUUUAGCACAGCCAGCUGCCAUGGAGACUUAAAAGUAGAUGACCUGGGCAAGAGAUGUUAUCAACUGAUUUUUAAUGAAGAUUGCUCUCCUGAAUGCCAAGUAUAGGAGCUCCCCAAAGCUUAAGCCGGGAAAGGAAAGACAGCCAAUAAACCAUUACUGAGCCGGCCACCGUUUGGUAUCAAGCACAACUGAAGGAUGGGUCUUCUGGGACUGAGCUAGGAGAGGCUGCAUGAAAGACUGCAUCCUAGAAUGGUUGAGUGCCCUGAGAAGUCGGCUCUAUGAAGACUGGGGUAUGGUCUGUGUUUCACUGCUAUAUUCCCAGCAUUGGGACAUCACAGAUGUGAAGCAAGUGUAUCUUCACUGAAUGAAUUUCUUUAAAAUGUUUAAUAAUCAUC